UGUGUUAAACAGUAACGCGGACGAGAAAAACAUUUGUUCUUCAACAUAACAUAAAUCAACUUAGGAUAUCAUCUGUGAUCGCGAGUGUUUAAAUAUCGUCAAUUCGUUUUUUAAUAAAAUUAAACGUUGUUAAGUUGCGGUGAAUCUUUUUGCUGUCAGGAUAACCAUAUAUCAAUAUGGGGAGCGUCGAGGAAAUUUAUGAAGGAGAAGUGCAUCGCACAAUUACGCGAAGAACAAGCUACAGAAUAAAAGAGACAACAACGAAAAAAACCACCACAAUGACUACUGUACCAGCCAAGCUUUAUGGAAAGAAUCUCAGUGAAUAUGAAGAGCUCGAUGUUGAACAAUUAUUGUCGCAGUUAUCACCAGAAGAGAUCAAUAUUCUAUCAAAAGAAGUAGAUCCCGAUGAUAAUUUAUUGCCACCAUCAGAACGUUGCAGCUAUGAAUGCAAUAAAGAAGCUACAGGUCCAUUGAAUAGGAAAAAAUUAAUAGAGCAUAUUAACAAGCAAGCUCUUGAAACGCCUGAUCUUCCUGAAAUGAAACCGUAUGUUCCAGGAACUGUUAGAGGAAAAAAAUGGGUUCCACCAGAAACAACAAAUGGCAAUGUUGAUAAUAAUGACAAAAUUGCUAUUGAUCUUGAUGACGAAUAUGGAGAUGCUUUAAACAAUGCUUCACAGGAAGAAAUAAUUGACUUGGCUGCUAUUCUUGGAUUUCAUUCAAUGAUGAACCAAGAUCAAUAUCAUGCUUCAUUAUUAAAUAAAGGUCAGCCUGUUGGAUUAGGAUGGGAUGGUAUAACUAAAGCAACACAACCAAAAGUUUAUCCACCCGAACCUCCAAACCAAACCGAUCCUGAUGAUAGCAUCAAACGUGUACAUGACGAUGACCCUAAAUUAAUUGAUCUCAAUUGGAAUAAUAUUAAAAAUAUAUCUGAUGAAAAAUUUGAGCAAUUGUUCAGUGCCCUAGUAGAAAAUACUCAUUUGGAAACUUUAAGUCUAGUUAAUGUUGGCCUAACUGAUCGAUUAGCUGGAAAAUUGGCAGAAGCUUUAGAAAAGAAUUGUACUCUACGUGUCUGCAAUGUAGAGACAAAUUUUAUAAGUCCUAUAGGAAUUGUUCGUUUAAUUAAAUGUUUAUUAAAACAAAGAUCCUUAGAAGAAUUUCGGGGAACUAAUCAAAGGUCCCAAGUAUUAGGAAAUAAGAUUGAAAUGGAAAUUACUAAACUGAUUGAGCAAAAUCCUACUAUUCUUCGACUUGGCUUACACUUAGAAUACAAUGAUGCUCGCCACCGAAUUGCAUCACAUUUACAGCGCAAUAUUGAUAGGAUACGCCAGAGCCGUGUGGGCGCAAAUUCCAUAUAAUUUCAUAUUUUGGCUACGUACAAUAUUUAGGUAUAUUUACAUUAAAAAUAUGCCGCUUACGCAGAACUGGUCACUUUGCGCGAACAUACACUGGCGGUUGGGUUGUACACAAAAAGGCUGUAUAAAUACUUGAAUUUUGCUUAGACUUUGGUCCUAGACUAUAUAUUUUAAGUUAUUAUAGUUUUAAAAUACAAUAUCUCUCUGAUUUAUUGUUCUUUCAUUUGUACAUGUAUAUAUAUUUAUAAAUAUUUACGUUAUGAUUUUUUCUGACUUAAACUCAUUUAAGAAAUUUAUUAUUAUAGUGUGUUUGGCGUGACAAUUCUAAUUAAUUAUAUUCAUUCAUAAAUAUAA
Daktulosphaira vitifoliae (grape phylloxera) is the source of this 1706-nucleotide RNA transcript. It is a transcript of the gene named tropomodulin, with no coding region annotated. The record is from RefSeq and is a predicted model, not a curated record. The transcript has 10 exons. Lineage: Eukaryota; Metazoa; Arthropoda; Insecta; Hemiptera; Phylloxeridae.